RNAcentral lists this non-coding RNA (424 nucleotides) under Triticum aestivum (bread wheat). RNAcentral describes it as "Bacterial large subunit ribosomal RNA". It matches the Rfam family "Bacterial large subunit ribosomal RNA", at positions 105 to 557 of the family's 2925-position model. Lineage: Eukaryota; Viridiplantae; Streptophyta; Magnoliopsida; Poales; Poaceae. The record is from Rfam by way of RNAcentral.
UGGUAUUUCAGGCAAAUGGCGUCACAGUAAAGUUUUGCCCUUUUCAAUCUUUUUUAGUGUGGGAAGGAAAAAGAAAGAAAAAAUGGAUUGGAUUGAACCUCGAAGUGAUGAAAAAAAUGGGCAAACCCCAUUUUUAAAACAGAAUUAAUAUAAAGUGGUGCCCUAGCUAAAUCAGGCCUCAACCUAAAUCGUGAAAACAUGUUUUUGGGAGAGCAAUAUAGGCGUUUUGCCGCUAGGCAAAGUGGUUGAGUGCGACACCCUAGCUUACGCUCCGACCCGAGUAGAAUGGGACACGUGCAAUCGUGUGUGAAUCACGAAGGACAACUUGCAAGGCUAAAUACUCCCAUGUGAUCGAAAGUGAAUAGUGCUAUGAGAAAAAGGUGGAAAGUACCCCUAGUGGGUGGUGAAAUAGAACGCGAAACCA